RNAcentral lists this long non-coding RNA (1139 nucleotides) under Equus caballus (horse). Its description in RNAcentral is "lncRNA (ENSECAG00000052931.1)". The record is from RNAcentral. Lineage: Eukaryota; Metazoa; Chordata; Mammalia; Perissodactyla; Equidae.
CUUGACACAUUUUUGUGACUUGAUUCCCAAAAGAGUUUCACUGGCUAUGGCAUGGAAAAUCCUAAAAUAGCCCCUCCAGAUCUUCCACUCUAAUCCCCAGGACUGUGAAUGUGAUGAGAUUUCAUGCCUAUGAUUAUGUCACAUUAUGGACAAAGGGAGAUUCUCCAUGUGGGCUUAAUCUAAUUGCAGGAGCCUUUUAAAAGCAAAGAGUUUUCUCCAGCUGGUAGCAAGAGGGAAAGUCAGAAAGUGUCAGAGCAUGAGAAGGAUGCAAUGCAUGGACGUUGACUUUUUUUUUUUUGGAAGAUUAGCCCUGAGCUAACAUCUGUCACCAAUCCUCCUCUUUUUUGCCAAGGAAUACUGGCCCUGAGCUAACAUCCAUGCCCAUCUUGCUCUACUUUAUAUGUGGGACAACUGCCACAGCAUGGCUUGACAAGCAGUGCGUAGGUCCACACCCAGGAUCUGAACCAGUGAACUCUGGGCUGAAGCGGAACUUGCAAACUUAACCACUGUGCCACUGGGCCGGCCCGGAUGUUGACUUUGAAGGCGGGAUGGAGGAGCAUCCACAAGACCAGACAGUGGCCUCUAGGAGCUGAGAGUGACCCCUGGCCGAUAGCUAGAAAAGAAAGCAGGGACCUCAAUCCUAGAGCCACAGGAAACUGAAUUCUGCCAGCAACUGAACACAUUGGGAAACUUCUCCAGAGCCUUCAGAAGUGAAGUUAAGAGGGGAAACCUCAACUAAAUCAGUUUGGGAAGGCCUGUACGGGGAGCUCUCACGCCUUAUCGUACAUCAUCAAUUACUCCAACCAGGAAGAGACUAUGCUUGCAUCUCCAACAGGAGGGUAUUUUCUACUUCACUACCCAGCAGGAGGAAGGAUGAUUUCUCUCCUUGCCCGGCAACAGCUCAGCCAACGAGAGACUGUAGCAACCCAGCCAAUGGGAAGCCUCUACACUUUGGACUCCCAGUUUCCUCUGAUGGAUUUUUAAAUUUAUUACAACCCUUCUCAACUCCCCCUUUUCCUCUGUAAAAGUAGGCCCCUUUUUGUUGUUUCUCUGGAUUUGCCUAUGGUCCCCCAGACCCUGCCUAUCUGGAAUUGAAAUUCUUUUGGUCGUUUCCAAAUAAACUCGUUUUGAGGGUAAAA